Long non-coding RNA from Bos taurus (domestic cattle), 1428 nucleotides. NCBI's taxonomy places the organism in Eukaryota, Metazoa, Chordata, Mammalia, Artiodactyla, Bovidae. The record is from Ensembl.
CCCAGGCAAGAAUACUGGAGUAGGUUGCCAUUUCCUUCUCCAGGGGAUCUUCUUGAUGGGAUUGAGCCUACAUCUUGUCUCCUGCAUCUGUAGGCAGAUUCUUUACCUCUGAGCCACCAGGGACGCCCUAUAGAGAUGUUAAAGUGAAGUGAAAUUGUCAGUCGCUAAGUCAUGUCUGACUCUUUGAGAUCCUGUGGACAGUAUCCCACUAGGCCCCUCUGUCCGUGGGAUUUUCUAGGUGGAUUCUUUUACCAUGGAACCUUCUCAGGUGACACCUAACUGGUCUCUCUUUGGAUUAAAGACGGCAUGGACAGGUUUAUGGGAACUACAAAGUUAUUUCAAGGUAUUUUGAGCCCAACCAAGAAAAGAGAGGUGCUUUCUGUCAUAAAUCUCCUCCUUUUCUAAUACAAAUUCCCCUUUCAGUCUCUUAUCAUCCUUAAACCCUUCCAAGAGGAAGUUAAAAAAAAAGGUAUACAUUCUCAAAUGUCUGAAAAUGAUUCGAGAGAGGAAAGUUUACCUUUUAACUCUCCCCAUAUUAACCUAUUUUCUACUGCCCAGCGUUGAAGUUAAUCAACUACAGGAAAAACCUUCCUGUAUGAAAAGAACCACUCCUCCCAGUUACAGAUUUUUUUCCUCCAGUUCAAAUGACUAUGUCAUUUGAUAAAGAUGUUACAUGAUCUUUAAAGUCUUUAGUGGAACAGUCCUGAAGGGUGCCCAGUUUUCAGUCUCUGCUUUGCUCUUGCCCAUCCCAGCUAUUUCUACUCUGUACUCUAUUAUCUGAACGCCGUUUGCAGUUCAUCAUGGAUCUCGGGAGAGGCAUGGGGAAGCAUAUCAAUAGAACUAUCUUUGGAAAUAAUGGCAUUUGGAAAUAAUUUUUGUCUGCUUCAUAACUGAAAGCGAUCACUCCCCGGAAUGCCCUUCGCAAGGAGGCGAGGCUGCUUACCCAGCCUGUUUCGGCUUGGUUCUCUUAGAUGCUUGGGUGUCAAGCCCUGUGUGUAAUUUCCCUAGACAGAAGCUGGCAUUGCCUCCCCUCCUGCGAACUUCAUUCCUCUGGAUCCUUCUCUUGUUGAUCCUGCUUCGCUUUUGGUUGGAUUUCUUCAGAAACAGCUGUCUGGUGUUCCAGGGUUCUCUGCUCUGCUGUGGUCCGCCUUGCUCACCGAAGAUCGCCGCUGUGGUCGCUCCUGGGCCCUGGGAACCAGGGAGACUCGAGAGAUUCAGGUUCAAUCCCUUGGUCAGGGAGAUCCCCUGGGGAAGGAAAUGGCAGUCCACUCCAGUAUUGUUGCCUGGAAAAUUCCAUGGAUAGAGGAGCCUGGUGGUCUACAGCAGACUAGUGGGGAAUGUUCCACAAAAGAGCAAGCAAGAACAUACAAAGUAUCAGAGAUGUCAUCUCAGAAGUGGCACGCUGUCAUCUCCACCCAUUUGUUAUUG